RNAcentral lists this non-coding RNA (30 nucleotides) under Mus musculus (house mouse). Lineage: Eukaryota; Metazoa; Chordata; Mammalia; Rodentia; Muridae. The record is from RNAcentral.
UAUCAGAUCCCGUGACCUCAUGGCUUUUGU